This 284-nucleotide ribosomal RNA is filed under the name uncultured archaeon. RNAcentral describes it as "partial 16S ribosomal RNA". It matches the Rfam family "Archaeal small subunit ribosomal RNA", at positions 345 to 629 of the family's 1478-position model. The record is from RNAcentral.
AAACUUUACACUGCGGGAAACCGCGAUAAGGGGACCCCGAGUGCCAGCACCUAGUGUUGGCUGUCCUACUGUCUAAAUAACAGUGGUUAGCAAGGGCCGGGCAAGACCGGUGCCAGCCGCCCCGGUAACACCGGCGGCCCGAGUGGUAACCGUUUUUAUUGGGCCUAAAGCGUUCGUAGCCGGUUUGAUAAGUCUCUGGUGAAAUCCUAUGGCUUAACUGUGGGAAUUGCUGGAGAUACUAUUAGACUUGAGGUCGGGAGAGGUUAGCGGUACUCCCAGGGUAG